This 91-nucleotide non-coding RNA is filed under the name Clostridium amazonitimonense. RNAcentral's name for it is "Purine riboswitch". It matches the Rfam family "Purine riboswitch aptamer". Rfam says of the family: Riboswitches are metabolite binding domains within certain messenger RNAs that serve as precision sensors for their corresponding targets. Allosteric rearrangement of mRNA structure is mediated by ligand binding, and this results in modulation of gene expression. A class of riboswitches that selectively recognises guanine and becomes saturated at concentrations as low as 5 nM. Lineage: Bacteria; Bacillati; Bacillota; Clostridia; Eubacteriales; Clostridiaceae. The record is from RNAcentral.
UAAGAUAAUUAAGUUUCGUAUAACUCUAAUGAUAUGGUUUAGGGGUGUCUACCAGGAACCGAUAAUUCCUGAUUACGAAGGAGAUACAUUU